This 2071-nucleotide long non-coding RNA is filed under the name Homo sapiens (human). Its description in RNAcentral is "non-protein coding lnc-DCAF10-2:4". Lineage: Eukaryota; Metazoa; Chordata; Mammalia; Primates; Hominidae. The record is from RNAcentral.
GCCUCCCCUCCCUCGGCCCGCGGCCCGCCAGAUGUCGCCAGCCUACUUCUCCUGGCCGCAGGCCGCCGCGGCGGGGCAGGUAGAGGGCCACGCCAGCACACCUGUCAGGAUGCGGGCUCCGCUAGCCACCAUGCUUCACCCUUGAUGCCGUACGGUGGCCUCAGCGUGCCAGAAACAGCCAACGCGUUCUCUAGCGCGCUGCCUGCAGGGGGCGUCUGGGCAUUGUCGGUUUUAGGGGCCUUGUCGGUUCUGCGGGGCGAGCGCCUUCGCGGAAAACUCCAAAGUACCCUCUGUGGAGCCUUGUUGAGUAUCUUCAAACCUUCAGAGGGACCUUUUAUCAGCGACCCAUGCCGCAGUUUACAGAAGAACGCUUUGUGCGUGCUUUGGGACGAGUCUUUGGAAAUGAUGGUUCUGACUCUGAGUUGGAAACUGGAACGCACACAACAGAUGGGAGGCGUUGAAGGAAACAGAAAGGUCGGCCUGAGGGGAGAGGCGUUUCAGGAGGCUUGCGGAUGUGUGAAGUGUGCGCACUGUGCUUGGGGCGAGCCCAAGCAGUAACCCCACCCGAGUGAAGCGUUCUUGGGGGGAUCGGCUCCGGGUGGGCGACGUUCCCCGCGUGCCCCCUUCCCCCGAGAGCACUUUGUAGACACUGACUCCAAAAGCGGGUCUGGUCUCUGCCCAGCCCCACUUUGGCUGGCGUGCUUAGGUGCCUCUCGGGAAGCUGGAGACCACCCUCCCCCAUUCCAGCAAACGCUCCAUUGAGGAACCUACUGCGUGCCAGGUCCUGGGGAGCUUAGCGUCUGAUGAAGGAUACAACAACAAAAGACUGGAAAUUCAGAAGCAUGAGGGGACCUCCCCCCUCGAGGGAGAACCAGAGAUGGCUUCACAGAGCAGACGUUUGAACUGGGCCUUGGAGGAUGGAUGAGUGGAAUUUGGCCCAGUGGAGAAAGUCAUAGCAGCAGGAGAUAAGAUUGUAAGGGUCAGGUGGUGGGGCUGGAUAAUGCGAAUCUUGACUGUCAGACACAGACACCUGCCAUCUAAUUAGUACGCGAGGGAUAAAUUUUGGACUCCGCAGGAUAAGGACAAGGCUACACAAUGGCUUAGAACAGUUAAUCGGGCAACAGUUGGAAAGGGCCUUUGCCUCAAAAUUAUGUUUGCCCUGUCUUGUGUGAAUGCCUAUUCAGAUGCAUUAUUUGAAAAAUAAAUAAACCAGGCAGGCAUCCAGCGUGUUCAUAAGCAUAAAUAAUUAAUUUCAGAUUAGAAUGGAGAGGUUAUUCUCCUGCGGUAAAACCUGAACAAGAAGGAAAAGACUGAAAUUAAACACACAAUUGGGGCACACCAGACUCAGAAAAUCCCAGGCUAACGGGAAAACUGAGGUCUGGAGCUGAGCCCAGUCUGCUUCUUUUAUGCUGCUGCAGGCCACAGCACAGUCCUCUGCCCCUCCAGCUCUUAGUUCCUUGUCAGAAACCCCCAGGCCCUUCAUUGGCUCUUCUUGGGCAUAUGAAUGUUGGGGAUGAAAACCCUCUAUUUUUGGAUACCAGAUCCAUCUUAAAGUUAGCCCUUCAUUUCUGUCCUCAUCCACCCAUUCCUGCAUUCCAUACCUCCAACCACUAGGUCAGCUGCCAGAUAUCCUCCAACCCAGCUGUGAUCAUGUCAUCCCGCAGCUUAAAAAUCUCCAAUGGUUCCCCCUUGGUUCCCUCUUGGUUCCCCCAGUAAAUCCAAACUCCUUAACUCGGUGCACGGGGCUGUCCUGUCCUGGCCCUUUUGCCAGUCUGUCCACCUCAACCCCAACUAUAUUCUGUGCUUUAGCCAUAUGCAGUCUCAGUGUUUUGCAAAUCCUGUGUUCCUUAAGCCUGUUUCCCCCUUUCACCACUGAUACAUGUUAGCCCUUCACCAAAUAGCCCUUCAAGGUCCUUUUGCCUCCUCUCCCUCCUAGAAGGCUUCCCUGAUCAUCUCAGGCAAAAUUGACUGUCCUUGCCCCUGCCUUCCCAUGCCCCAAAGUUUGGGGCGCUUCUGACAUCCUGUCCUAUGUUGUAGUCACUCAUGACAGUGUGAUCUUUCCCACCGCCAG